Molecule: ribosomal RNA, 1178 nt
Filed under: Staphylococcus aureus
Lineage: Bacteria; Bacillati; Bacillota; Bacilli; Caryophanales; Staphylococcaceae
Description: partial 23S ribosomal RNA
Rfam family: Bacterial large subunit ribosomal RNA
Source: RNAcentral
CCUGAAACCGUGUGCUUACAAGUAGUCAGAGCCCGUUAAUGGGUGAUGGCGUGCCUUUUGUAGAAUGAACCGGCGAGUUACGAUUUGAUGCAAGGUUAAGCAGUAAAUGUGGAGCCGUAGCGAAAGCGAGUCUGAAUAGGGCGUUUAGUAUUUGGUCGUAGACCCGAAACCAGGUGAUCUACCCUUGGUCAGGUUGAAGUUCAGGUAACACUGAAUGGAGGACCGAACCGACUUACGUUGAAAAGUGAGCGGAUGAACUGAGGGUAGCGGAGAAAUUCCAAUCGAACCUGGAGAUAGCUGGUUCUCUCCGAAAUAGCUUUAGGGCUAGCCUCAAGUGAUGAUUAUUGGAGGUAGAGCACUGUUUGGACGAGGGGCCCCUCUCGGGUUACCGAAUUCAGACAAACUCCGAAUGCCAAUUAAUUUAACUUGGGAGUCAGAACAUGGGUGAUAAGGUCCGUGUUCGAAAGGGAAACAGCCCAGACCACCAGCUAAGGUCCCAAAAUAUAUGUUAAGUGGAAAAGGAUGUGGCGUUGCCCAGACAACUAGGAUGUUGGCUUAGAAGCAGCCAUCAUUUAAAGAGUGCGUAAUAGCUCACUAGUCGAGUGACACUGCGCCGAAAAUGUACCGGGGCUAAACAUAUUACCGAAGCUGUGGAUUGUCCUUUGGACAAUGGUAGGAGAGCGUUCUAAGGGCGUUGAAGCAUGAUCGUAAGCUCGUUAAGGAACUCGGCAAAAUGACCCCGUAACUUCGGGAGAAGGGGUGCUCUUUAGGGUUAACGCCCAGAAGAGCCGCAGUGAAUAGGCCCAAGCGACUGUUUAUCAAAAACACAGGUCUCUGCUAAACCGUAAGGUGAUGUAUAGGGGCUGACGCCUGCCCGGUGCUGGAAGGUUAAGAGGAGUGGUUAGCUUCUGCGAAGCUACGAAUCGAAGCCCCAGUAAACGGCGGCCGUAACUAUAACGGUCCUAAGGUAGCGAAAUUCCUUGUCGGGUAAGUUCCGACCCGCACGAAAGGCGUAACGAUUUGGGCACUGUCUCAACGAGAGACUCGGUGAAAUCAUAGUACCUGUGAAGAUGCAGGUUACCCGCGACAGGACGGAAAGACCCCGUGGAGCUUUACUGUAGCCUGAUAUUGAAAUUCGGCACAGCUUGUACAGGAUAGGUAGGAGCCUUUGAAACGUG